This 604-nucleotide ribosomal RNA is filed under the name uncultured bacterium. Its description in RNAcentral is "bacterial SSU rRNA". It matches the Rfam family "Bacterial small subunit ribosomal RNA", at positions 8 to 564 of the family's 1533-position model. The record is from RNAcentral.
AGAGUUUGAUCCUGGCUCAGGAUGAACGCCGGCGGUGUGCCUAAUACAUGCAAGUCGUACGCACUGGCCCAACUGAUUGAUGGUGCUUGCACCUGAUUGACGAUGGAUUACCAGUGAGUGGCGGACGGGUGAGUAACACGUAGGUAACCUGCCCCGGAGUGGGGGAUAACAUUUGGAAACAGAUGCUAAUACCGCAUAACAACAAAAGCCACAUGGCUUUUGUUUGAAAGAUGGCUUUGGCUAUCACUCUGGGAUGGACCUGCGGUGCAUUAGCUAGUUGGUAAGGUAACGGCUUACCAAGGCGAUGAUGCAUAGCCGAGUUGAGAGACUGAUCGGCCACAAUGGAACUGAGACACGGUCCAUACUCCUACGGGAGGCAGCAGUAGGGAAUCUUCCACAAUGGGUGCAAGCCUGAUGGAGCAACACCGCGUGAGUGAAGAAGGGUUUCGGCUCGUAAAGCUCUGUUGUUGGAGAAGAACGUGCGUGAGAGUAACUGUUCACGCAGUGACGGUUAUCCGACCCAGAAAGUCACGGCUAACUACGUGCCAGCAGCCGCCGGUAAUACGUAGGUGGCAAGCGUUAUCCGGAAUUUAUUGGGCUUAAA